CCUGUUACUGACCUACAAAUCCCAGCAUCCCUUGUCAGACCUGCAGCCUGUACUGGUCCUUUUACUGUGAUAUCAUGAUGUUGAGAGGUUGCAUUUCAGCAGUGACUGGGCCUCAUAUUAUAAUAGAGGGAAGAAUGGAUGAUGCCUAUACUGGGAAAUGCUGCAACCUGUUUAAUUUUAUUUCAUUUAAAGGGGAACAUUGCUUUAAUGCUGUUGAUGCAAAAGGAAAAACUGAUGCUAAAUUUUGUUUUUUGCCAAUGGAUAUCAGAUUUCAGAAUUUAUGGUCAGAAUAAAAAUAACAGAUAAAACAGAUAAACAAUAUAUAUAAGUUUAGGGUUUGUUUUUGGUACAAUGGGAGAAUUGGUUGAGGGUGUGAAUACUUAAUAUAUAAUAUAUAAGGCAGUGAAUCCUGAUAGCAGAGAGGGCUGGUGCAUGUGAGCUCACAAUCUCUUCUUUCUUUCUGUGUCCCCACAGCGUUUUCGAAGCGGUUUUCCGAGUGAUUUUCCGAGUGAUUUCACAGCGAUUGUUUUAAAGAGAUAUUCAGUGAUAUUCCAUCUGAUUUUUGCCGUUUGGAAAAAACAUCUUCCUUUGACGUCAGCUGAUAUCGUCUUUUUAACCGAACAGCUCUUUUAAGAGCUAAAAAAACGUUGGCGCAAUGACAUUCUGCGCCCCCUGGAGGAAGGUAAGGCAACUGCUACUGUUUUUUCUGAAUUUAAGGUUUUGCUGUAUAGAGAACAGAUACAGAUAAAGUAUAGAAUGUAAUAGAAUCUUUCUCUUCUCCUUCAGCCACAGGUGGAAUCCAGAUCCCUCUCUGAGAUUUAUAAGGUGAGUAGAAAGGGUAAAACAUGUCACCGGAAGUGAGACAUGUUUUAUUCCCUGGGGAAUAAUAUGUUAUCAAUAAAAUCCUUCUUUUUUCUACUUUAUUUUCCAGCCUCCUGAUGGUCAGCUGACCAAGGAUGUGCUUCUUGGAGACGGCGGCACCGGAGACGUCUACAAGGUAAGGGACCAACCAAUUCCUAGAGAGUAGAGGAACUGAACAAAAUUGUGAUCACUACACUCAAUCAUACAAUGAUUUAGGCAGAGAUAUCAAGCUUCACUAACCCAAUUCUUUCCUACUUGUAUAUAAGUCAACCUUUCUGUCUGUAUUACAGGGACGACACCAUCGUAAAGGCGUGGUAGCGGUGAAGAUAACCAACAUCAGCCGAGUACUGUAUCUUUAUAAUUCCAAUUACUAUAUAUCAAUCAUAUUUGUGUAGUUGCCUAUGUGAGCUAAAGGGAUUUCUAUUAUUCCACUCCAGGAUGAAGAGUCAGUCUGCAAGGAGCUGAAGUUUCUCAAGCAGUUUGGCGGCCACAAGAACAUCGCCUCUUACUAUGGAGCCUACUAUAGGGCUCCACUCACGGAGUGCUCAUCGGAGCUCUUGGAAGUAAGAAAUGAUUUACUGUAUCGUGUUUAUUCCUCAUGUACCAAAGGAAUCUCCACUGGAAGUGAUAGAAUGCAUGACCUUAAAUAAUUUCUAUAUAUUGCAGAUUGUUCUCGAGUACUGUGGUGGAGGCUCUUUCUACAACCUCAUCAGCAAGACCAAUGGCCAUUCCCUGAAGGAGACCUGGAUUGGCUAUGUCUGCAAGGAGGUUUUAAAGGGGUUGCACCACAUCCACAAGAACCAGCCAUUCAUAGAGACAUCAAGAGCCUGAACAUCAUGCUCACAGAGACGGCCAAAGUGAAGAUCAGUGAGUAAAACUUACACUUAUAAGAGUAAUGGAUGGUGGGGAGCGUCUGUGAUUAUGGAGUCAGGGGGUUUCAUAAUUUAGGUUUCUAUCCUUUUGUGGUUAAACAAGUUAUUUUCCAUUAAUAGAUUCUAUCUGUCAUUUCAGUCGACUUUGGAAACAGUUUUGACCUGGACCCGCAGACUGGAUUGUGCCACGAAGCGGAAGGGACUCCCCAUUGGAUAAGGCAGAAGGGCCAGCGACUGGCAUACGACACCAAAGUAUGUUGUACUUAUAAUACUUGUAACAACACGGAGCAUUUACUUAUCAGUGUUAAUGGGACAUAGAAGCAGUCAUUUUCUCAUGGAGAGAAAGGAGUUUUUCGGAAACAUUGGGUUUCUUAAUUUUUGCACAAUGUGUCUGCUUUAAUAUAUUCGCUCAUUUGCAUUGUGACGCUAGUGUUAUGUACUGUAACUGCUAUUGUUUGUAAUGGAGACAUAUAUUGCUGUAUACACGUUUAUAAAUAAUAAAGCAUUUUUUCACUUUUACAUAUAUCAUGAUGUGUUUAUUUACUAGGGUGUGAAUUGGGCUAUUUUAGAAGUUGUAUUUUGUUCUGUUUUGCCCAUAAUUGAGCUAAGGAGAAUGGUGUGUACAUUUGCACCCAUGAUAAUAUAUGAAUAUGUUUCUAAAAGAGAAUUGUGUAGCAUUUUUACUUAGAUUUUAUUAAACACCCACUAACCCAAUUCCUUCUAAUGCUCUUUGGUGUGUCUUUUGCAGUGUGACAUCUGGUCGCUGGGAAUAACCGCCAUCGAAAUGGCCGAGGGAAAAGCACCAUAUGCAGAUCAAUACCCGGUGUUGCACCUGAUAAGAGAAGCCCAACCACCGAAGCUUCGAUCAAAUAGAUGGUCACAACAUUUUGUGUCCUUCUUGGAGUACUGUCUGAAGAAGGAUCCUUCGGAGAGAGGGAGUGCUGAAGAACUCCUGCAGCACCCAUUCGUCACCCAACUGCCACCUAAGAAAAUAAUCAGGGCUGUGAUUGAAAAACAUCUCCGGACUCUGCCGAACGGGCCGGCCAAGGGAAUCCAUUAUAUUUGAUACCACUGCACCAUCACACAGUGUAACUCAACAGCUGCAAGAGUUGGUUUUAUUAAAAUGGCACUCGGAAUACUAUACAUGUUUUAAGGGGUACUUUAGCUUAAUAUUAUAUUUUAGUAUAAUGGUGACAAUGGCGUUCUAAGACAAUUGCAUUUGGUCUUCAGUCUUUAUUUUUUUGUUUAUGAAUCAUAUACAAGCUCUAAUUAGUAUUCAUGAAUCACAAAUAUGAUUUUUCCAUAUACAGGACUGAAGGGAGUAGCUCUCUGGACCCUGCGGCGUGCUUGUGACUUCUGCACACAGACAUCGGCAGAACAAGAAGCAGCUCUGCAAAUGGCCCUGGAGGGCUUCUCCUGUUAUUAAUCGUGUGGCCAAUAACAUCAACAGGCCAGAAUGAGUUUCCUGAAUCACAGCUGAGGAAAAAGAAACAUCCACAGAUCCAGUGGCUCCACCAGCAACAUCUCCUUUCAAGCUGAUGCAGUUCAGCAAGUGGUAACUUCAAGAUUCCUGUAACUACACCAGCAGGGAAUUUAUCUCCUUCUGUAGCUCCAUGAUCAUAUUCUUUUUAGACUACCACAUCUCCACCAGUGGUGUCUUUGUUUUAGUUUACAUCACUCCACCCACACACAUCUCCACCUCACUUUCCAACUGCCAUAGUUCCAUCCAUCUUCCUUUUCUUGCAGACAACUGUAACUCCAACAUCUUGCCUUAAGCAUCUACUAUUCACAGAACCAUAGCUCCAACAUUUAUAUCCACCUCUACAGCUCCACUAGCAGCAUUUACAUUUUCAAACACCAUAGCUCCACUAUUAGGACCUUAGUUUUCAGUAGUAUCCAAUUACCACAUUUCCACCCAAGGACUUUUCAUUUAACUUUAGCUCCACCACCAGCCCUUAUCCCAUAUUUUACCUCUACCCGCAAGCUCUGUCCUUGUGCUAACACACCUCCACCAUUAUCUUCUUUUAUUUACAUAUCAUCAAGAGUUUCUCCUCUUUAAAAUAUCUUUUAAUCCUUGCCCUUCUUCCUGCACCUCCAUUGGUUCUUCUAUUCCACCAAUACCAAGACAUUUAGUCACCACCACACACUAAAAUGAAGCCCCCUACACAAAGGCUUCUCUUCUCCACUUUUUUCUUUUGCCUCUCCCCCCUGCAAUCUCCUAACACUAAUUCCUCAGUGGUUUCUCCUGUUCAAAUUCUUUCCUUUCUAAAUUCUAUCCUUUCAAGCCAUCCACUCAACAACCAGUCACAUCUCCUACUCUAAACCCUGACAUAAACUCUUAGUACUGAUACUGACAUAAACUCUUAGUUGAUCCAGGGACUUGUCCGAUUGCCCUUUGGGAGUCAGGAAGGAAUUUUUCCCCCUCUGAGGCGAAUUGGCUCUGGCUUCAGAUGGGGUUUUUUGCCUUCCUCUGGAUCAACUACUAAAUAGGAAGAUCCCUUUUACACUAAAACUUGAACCUAAUGGACGUGAGUCCUUCCCAACUUAAAUUAGUAUGAAUUAAUCCAAAAUGCAUAAAUAUAACAUCCAAUUUAUAAAUAAAUAUGUUAAUACACA
Molecule: long non-coding RNA, 4349 nt
Organism: Xenopus laevis (African clawed frog)
Lineage: Eukaryota; Metazoa; Chordata; Amphibia; Anura; Pipidae
Exons: 5
Source: RefSeq, a predicted model, not a curated record